This 2934-nucleotide ribosomal RNA is filed under the name Enterobacter ludwigii. Its description in RNAcentral is "23S ribosomal RNA". It matches the Rfam family "Bacterial large subunit ribosomal RNA". Lineage: Bacteria; Pseudomonadati; Pseudomonadota; Gammaproteobacteria; Enterobacterales; Enterobacteriaceae. The record is from RNAcentral.
GGGUUGUGAGGUUAAGCGACUAAGCGUACACGGUGGAUGCCCUGGCAGUCAGAGGCGAUGAAGGACGUGCUAAUCUGCGAAAAGCGCCGGCGAGGUGAUAUGAACCUUUGACCCGGCGAUGUCCGAAUGGGGAAACCCAGUGUGAUCCGUCACACUAUCGUUAACUGAAUACAUAGGUUAACGAGGCGAACCGGGGGAACUGAAACAUCUAAGUACCCCGAGGAAAAGAAAUCAACCGAGAUUCCCCCAGUAGCGGCGAGCGAACGGGGAGCAGCCCAGAGUCUGAAUCAGCUUGUGUGUUAGUGGAAGCGUCUGGAAAGUCGCACGGUACAGGGUGACAGUCCCGUACACGAAAGCACACAGGCUGUGAACUCGAAGAGUAGGGCGGGACACGUGGUAUCCUGUCUGAAUAUGGGGGGACCAUCCUCCAAGGCUAAAUACUCCUGACUGACCGAUAGUGAACCAGUACCGUGAGGGAAAGGCGAAAAGAACCCCGGCGAGGGGAGUGAAAAAGAACCUGAAACCGUGUACGUACAAGCAGUGGGAGCCUCUUUUAUGGGGUGACUGCGUACCUUUUGUAUAAUGGGUCAGCGACUUAUAUUCUGUAGCAAGGUUAACCGUAUAGGGGAGCCGAAGGGAAACCGAGUCUUAACUGGGCGUUAAGUUGCAGGGUAUAGACCCGAAACCCGGUGAUCUAGCCAUGGGCAGGUUGAAGGUUGGGUAACACUAACUGGAGGACCGAACCGACUAAUGUUGAAAAAUUAGCGGAUGACUUGUGGCUGGGGGUGAAAGGCCAAUCAAACCGGGAGAUAGCUGGUUCUCCCCGAAAGCUAUUUAGGUAGCGCCUCGUGAAUUCAUCUUCGGGGGUAGAGCACUGUUUCGGCUAGGGGGCCAUCCCGGCUUACCAACCCGAUGCAAACUACGAAUACCGAAGAAUGUUAUCACGGGAGACACACGGCGGGUGCUAACGUCCGUCGUGAAGAGGGAAACAACCCAGACCGCCAGCUAAGGUCCCAAAGUCAUGGUUAAGUGGGAAACGAUGUGGGAAGGCACAGACAGCCAGGAUGUUGGCUUAGAAGCAGCCAUCAUUUAAAGAAAGCGUAAUAGCUCACUGGUCGAGUCGGCCUGCGCGGAAGAUGUAACGGGGCUAAACCAUGCACCGAAGCUGCGGCAGCGACGCUUAUGCGUUGUUGGGUAGGGGAGCGUUCUGUAAGCCGUUGAAGGUGUCCUGUGAGGGGUGCUGGAGGUAUCAGAAGUGCGAAUGCUGACAUAAGUAACGAUAAAGCGGGUGAAAAGCCCGCUCGCCGGAAGACCAAGGGUUCCUGUCCAACGUUAAUCGGGGCAGGGUGAGUCGACCCCUAAGGCGAGGCCGAAAGGCGUAGUCGAUGGGAAACAGGUUAAUAUUCCUGUACUUGGUGUUACUGCGAAGGGGGGACGGAGAAGGCUAUGUUAGCCGGGCGACGGUUGUCCCGGUUUAAGCAUGUAGGCGGAGGUUCCAGGUAAAUCCGGUUCCUUGUUAACGCUGAGGUGUGAUGACGAGGCACUACGGUGCUGAAGUAACAAAUGCCCUGCUUCCAGGAAAAGCCUCUAAGCAUCAGGUAACAUCAAAUCGUACCCCAAACCGACACAGGUGGUCAGGUAGAGAAUACCAAGGCGCUUGAGAGAACUCGGGUGAAGGAACUAGGCAAAAUGGUGCCGUAACUUCGGGAGAAGGCACGCUGAUAUGUAGGUGAAGUCCCUGCGGAUGGAGCUGAAAUCAGUCGAAGAUACCAGCUGGCUGCAACUGUUUAUUAAAAACACAGCACUGUGCAAACACGAAAGUGGACGUAUACGGUGUGACGCCUGCCCGGUGCCGGAAGGUUAAUUGAUGGGGUUAGCGGCAACGCGAAGCUCUUGAUCGAAGCCCCGGUAAACGGCGGCCGUAACUAUAACGGUCCUAAGGUAGCGAAAUUCCUUGUCGGGUAAGUUCCGACCUGCACGAAUGGCGUAAUGAUGGCCAGGCUGUCUCCACCCGAGACUCAGUGAAAUUGAACUCGCUGUGAAGAUGCAGUGUACCCGCGGCAAGACGGAAAGACCCCGUGAACCUUUACUAUAGCUUGACACUGAACACUGGUCCUUGAUGUGUAGGAUAGGUGGGAGGCUUUGAAGCGUGGACGCCAGUCUGCGUGGAGCCAACCUUGAAAUACCACCCUUUAAUGGCUGGUGUUCUAACGUAGACCCGUAAUCCGGGUUGCGGACAGUGUCUGGUGGGUAGUUUGACUGGGGCGGUCUCCUCCCAAAGAGUAACGGAGGAGCACGAAGGUUAGCUAAUCCUGGUCGGACAUCAGGAGGUUAGUGCAAUGGCAUAAGCUAGCUUGACUGCGAGAGUGACGGCUCGAGCAGGUGCGAAAGCAGGUCAUAGUGAUCCGGUGGUUCUGAAUGGAAGGGCCAUCGCUCAACGGAUAAAAGGUACUCCGGGGAUAACAGGCUGAUACCGCCCAAGAGUUCAUAUCGACGGCGGUGUUUGGCACCUCGAUGUCGGCUCAUCACAUCCUGGGGCUGAAGUAGGUCCCAAGGGUAUGGCUGUUCGCCAUUUAAAGUGGUACGCGAGCUGGGUUUAGAACGUCGUGAGACAGUUCGGUCCCUAUCUGCCGUGGGCGCUGGAGAAUUGAGGGGGGCUGCUCCUAGUACGAGAGGACCGGAGUGGACGCAUCACUGGUGUUCGGGUUGUCAUGCCAAUGGCACUGCCCGGUAGCUAAAUGCGGAAGAGAUAAGUGCUGAAAGCAUCUAAGCACGAAACUUGCCCCGAGAUGAGUUCUCCCUGAGACUUUAAGUCUCCUGAAGGAACGUUGAAGACUACGACGUUGAUAGGUCGGGUGUGUAAGCGCAGCGAUGCGUUGAGCUAACCGAUACUAAUGAACCGUGAGGCUUAACCUUACAACGCCGAAGGUGUUU